RNAcentral lists this non-coding RNA (171 nucleotides) under Leifsonia sp. Its description in RNAcentral is "Glycine sequence". It matches the Rfam family "Glycine riboswitch aptamer". From Rfam's summary of the family: This family represents the bacterial glycine riboswitch. Glycine riboswitches usually consist of two metabolite-binding aptamers domains with similar structures in tandem. The record is from RNAcentral. Lineage: Bacteria; Bacillati; Actinomycetota; Actinomycetes; Micrococcales; Microbacteriaceae.
GCCGCUCUGGAAAGUGGAUUUUGCGAAGCAAGAUCCAGAUCGAGCCUGUCGAGAUCUCUCGCCCUGCCUGGUCUGGACUACGCGAAAUCCCGCCCAAGGUGAAAGCCGCACGCAUCCGUCGAUCGACGGAGCAGCGGUGAAACUCUCAGGCCGGAUGACAGAGGGGGAGUU